GAUCCAAUUUUAUUUUGUGUGUUUUUUAGAGUUUUAGAUAUUUAAUUUAAAAGUUACUUUUCUCAUGUUGUAAGCUUGUUAAUUUUAAUUCUUGAUUGACCUAAUUUUAGUACGUGUGUUUUUUUAGAGUUUUAGUUAAUUAGUUUAAUCAAUGCUCAUGUUUUAAAAAGUUUGUUAAUUUUGGUUUUUGACUGAUCUUGUCCUAGUUUAUAGUUUUUCAAAAUUUUAGUUAAUUAGUUUUAUCCCAUGUUAUUAUACUCAUGAAUUAAAAAUAGUUAAAUUUAGCUUUUCUACUUAGCUGAUGUGUCCUUUUUUAAAUUUUUGGUUAUCAUUUUGCUUAAUCCCUUGUUACUUAGUUUUGUUUUUGUUUUGGAAGUUAUUAAUGUCUAGUUGUUGAUUGAUAUUACCCUAGUUUAUGUGCUUCUAGAAUUCUGAUGGUUAGUUUUUUUAUUAAUAUCUUGUUAAUUUGUUUGAUCUAGAACCCAUUAGUUAGUUGCUUUGAUGAAAUCCCUACAAAAAACCUAUUUUUCAAAAACCCUUUAUUGUUAGUUUGUUCGAUUAUUUGACUUAUAAUUUUUCUAAAAAUUUUCCAAGUGUUCCAUGGUAGUUUAGACUUCUUGAACUUGAAUUUAAGACUUUGUUUGAGUUAAAAAUCACUUUUAAAAUGGAAGAUAUGAAUGAGUCUUUUGGGUGGUUCUGUUUUCACCCAGUUUUGGACACUUAAAAUUUUUUUAUAAACAUAAAUUACUAGAUGACUCUUGAAAAGUAAAUUUUUGUUUGCUUAAUUUUGAUUCAUUACUUUGGUUUAAAAGGUGAGAAUUUUUUGUUUUAUUUUAAUUUUGAUUCAUUAUAUUACAUUGAAAAAUUAAAAUCUUUGUGUAGUUUGGACUUGAUUCCUUGCUUAGUUCGAAAAGUUAGAAUUUUGCUUAGAUCGGUUUUAAUAGAUUUAAUUUUAAAAGUCAGUUUUUUUUAGGAGUCAGCUUUUUAUUUAGUUCAAGUAUUUUAUAAUUUUUAGUCUAUUAUUCUAAUUGAUCCUAUGUAAUAAAGUUUAUGUUUUUAAGUUUAUUUUGAUCAUGUUUUGGUUCAUCUUAUUUAGUUUAGGUACUAAUCUUAUGUUAUUUUGCUCACGUUCUAAAAUUGAUGAUUCUAGUUUUUGAUUAGUUAAUAUGUUUUAGAAUUCUAUGUGCUUGUGUUACUAUAUUCACAUUAUUAUAAUUACAUGUUUAGGUGUUUGGUUGAUUUUAAAUUAGUUCUAGAGUGUUUAUCUCAAUUUAUGUGUUUGAUUGAUCCUUAUAAAUUCCCGAUUAAUAUUUCAUUAGUUUUAUUUGAUCUAAAGUCGUUUGGUUUGUUGCUUUGGUGAAUAUUUAUUAAAUUUGAUUUUUAGAGGCCAUUGGAAAAUCAUGAAGAUUGGCCUCUACCAUCACCAUUAUCAUUUUUGUUAAUUACUAAAAAAAAUUUUACUUUGAGGUUUCAUUUUUGUUUUGUUUGGUGUUUUAUUUUUUCCCAAAUUAAUCCCUUUUAUUUUAAAAUAAAAUACUUUUAUCAAAAAAUCAUUUUAAAAAAAAUCUAUUUCAAAAACUCAUUAGAUUCCUCAGGAUCAAAAUCUUUUUUUUUAUUUUUAAAAAAUAAUAUGCAACCAUAUUUUGUUCGGUUUGCAUCCUUCUCGGUUUCUAACAAAAGGUUUGGUUUUGAACAAAAACACGAAUCAAAGCUUAUGGUCCCAAAUAAUGGGAUAAUUCUGGGCUAAAUUUGUGUAUAUUAAUUUGGGGAAUUGGCGAAACCCCUACAUAAGAAAAUCUUUUCAAAAAUUAUUUUUGUUGCCAUUUUUGUCACUUUUUGAAAUUAUAUCUAUCUUUUUUUUUAGAAAUUGUAUACAAGAUGAGUGUGAUAAUUAUUGUUUUCAUAUAUUUUGACAAUUUCUGCUAUGAUAAUUAGAUAACGAGCAUGCUAGGACUUCUUAUUUUAUUGUUUGUUAUCUAACCUCUCAUGUUUUGUGGAAGCGCAUUAGGAGUUAAAUAUGCUAUCCAGGUACGUUCCCUAAUACCCACUUUCUAAACCCUAUGAAUAUGUAUGCCCAUGCUUGCUAUCCUCUUUAAUUGCCUUGAUAUACAUUUGAUGAUUGUUUGAUUAUCUUUGAUAAAACAAAUGUUGUGUGAUGUAUCUCCAAACUAAUCUCUUAUGUUUUAUGAUAGCGCUUGGGAAGCCGUCCAGGUACGCAUUUUUAACUCUCCUUAAUUGUGAUUUGAUUUUGUUUGAUAUGUUAUAUUUUUUUUGGAAUCACCUAGCCUACUUAGGUAUCCGAGAUCAACCAUUUAAUUGCCACGCUUCCCUUAACUUAGUCAGUAGAGACCUCUUUAGGGCUUAGAGGGGUGCUACCUCCUAGAGGUACCUUCCCAAUAAGUAACCUGAUCCCCGGACCAAGACUUGGGUUUUCAAAGACACGCUUUUCCAAAAAUUAUGGAGUCAUUUUUUUUAGGGUUUUAUUUCUUGUUUUAUUUUCCCUUCAAAAAUAAAAAUAAAAUAAGUGGCGACUCCAACUUUUUUUUAAAAAAAAUCAAUUUUUCACAAAUAAAUAAAAAGCGAGUCUCGCCGAUCGAGUGGGGACGCACGUGAAAAAUGCGGGUCCACAACAUGGUUCAGUGAUUAAUGUGAUCCCUAUGUUCAGGUGAAGUGCAUCAAUACUCAACAAUUAAUCCAUUAAUCAAAAGGAAUAAGAAGAGUUACAAUAGUAAAACUUUCAAAAAAACAUAUUUCAAUUGCAAUCUCACUCUCUAAAAAACAAAACCCUAAAACAUAAAAGGAUUACCAAAACGAGUCUUGAGCCCUAAUCCAUAAGGGAGCAUUUAUAGGGUUGUCCACUAGGCUUAACUAACUUGAGCCAAUCAAGGCUUGGGUCACUUAAUCUAGCACAAAACGAGUUCUAAUUGAUUAAUUAACCACAUAGGGCAUCUAAUUAAUCAAUUAGCUCAACCAAGGACUUUGUUCAUUAUCGCUUGUGUAGUCUUGCAUGAUAACCAAAACACCCUUAUGCAUAAGAAUGAACCUAAAGCCAAUUCAACCCUCAUAAACCAUAUCAUCAUGGUAUAAAAGUUCAAAACGGGGACCACUAGGACCCAUAGGAGUACUAGCUCCCUCAGAAUCCAAUUCUAAAGUUGAUUCAACAUUCUACUAAACAGAAUCAACUACACUCCAAUAUCUUAAAUAAAUAACAAUGUGAUAAAGGUUAGGUCAUUAACCUUAUCCACUGCAUGCAAACUCCUCAUGAACUGGUGUUUGUAAUCUAACAAGGUAGACUAUCACCUAUUAAGAUUACCUCUCAAAUACUUGAGUUACAAAUCUUACUUAUUAUGUGAUUAACAAACAUACUCCAAUUCCAAGGAGCAUAUGUCAAAUUCCACUAAAUGAAUUAUUGUAGUCAUAGAUUUUAUGAUCAUGUGUCCUUUGGAUUACCCAAGGAGACACACCAUCUCAUUACUUCUAUGAGAUAUCAUGGUGCCUCUAUCAAGAAUACUCAUUGCCAUCAACCAUCUUCAAUAGUAACCUAAUAUAUUAGGAUAUAUGACCACUUUAAGGUCUUACCCAUAGGUCAAGGCCUCCCAUUGAUGUUGGCAUAGACUCAAUAUCCUAUCAAGGUUGAGAGUUCAUGUAGUAUGGUAGCUUAGUGAAUCAUGACAAUUGAUUGCCUUACAUCAUGAUUCAUCGUGGGUCUUGUCUAGUGCGCAUCAUAUACACUAGUGGACUUACCAAGGAAAAACCAUCUUGAUGGCCAAGACAAGUCAUCCCUCCAAUUAGGAGGUGGUUUUCAAAUUUGAUUUGAUAAUCAAUUACCGAACCAGUUUUUUGAAGUUGAAUGAGCUUGUUAAACAUAUUUUCGAAUUGGUUAGUAUUAAAAUGAGAGAAAAUUCCUUGCUUGAGAUCUUCCUAAGUAACAUACAUAAGUUCUUCUAAUAUUUGGGACCAAAGUUGGGCUUCACCCUCUAAAUAAAAUGAGGCUAGAGUAACCUUAUAAAAUUCAAUGAUUUCCUGGAAUGAAAAGUACUUUUCUACCUUGCUUACCUAAGUUGUAGGAUCAUCUUGACUAUCAUAAUGGGGAAAAUCAAUCUUAAAGGUCUUAGGAACGUAGUUGUUAAGAGAACCCCAUAUGUCAAAAUUAACACCAUUUCGACCAUUGCCCUUACUUGUAGAAUGCUUUCUAUCAUCCUUACUUUUACCAAAAAUGUGUUGGAUGAAUUGCUCCAUUCUCUUAGUGAUAUGACCCAGUAUCUCCUAUUGACUAAAGGCAAGAGCUGCCAUGGUCUCUUCCAUCUUUUUCAAACGAUCUUGUAGAUCCAUUCCUGGCUCUUAUAAAAAAUUUACGUUGAGGAACUAAAGCAACAAAAAGAAAAAGAAAAAUCAUUAGCUUAUAUGAGGAACUAAUGCCCUUCCCAGGCAGCUCAAAGAUUUGAUAUAAUUGUUCAAUGCCUUUAUUUAGAAUCAUUCAAGUCUUUUACAAUGACUUGCUUCACAUUUACAUGCAUAAAAGUAGGAAACAAUAACUUAAAAUAAACAUGUUCUAACAUGAACAAACACAUCCUCACAUUUACAACUAAUUCAAAUAUUAAAUAGAGAAAAAUAAGGAAUAAAAUAACAACUAGUUCUAAGGCAGCGUAAUAGCUUCCAUGAUUUUAAUUUCAUUCUUUGUUUCCAUUCCUUCUGGUGUUGGCAUCUUAUUGUCUAAGGUUUGUGUAAGAAUUUUACAUUUCCAAAGUAGAGCACGGUGCUCAUUCUUUACAUCAUUCAUCAUUUCCAUCCUAGUUCUCUAAGAUAAGAGGAGAAUGAAACCAUUUUCGUGGAAAGGUUUUUUUUUUUUUUUUUUAAUUUUAAUUUUUAUGUCUUUGCAAUUGGACCAUCUCUACUUUGUCAUGCUUCUAGAAUUCUAUACAUUAACUAAUGACCCUUCAGUAUCAUGUUAAAAAAACGUGUAAAAAAAUAAAAAGAAAACAUAGUUAGCAAGCUUAAAGGAAGAGUAAAGAUAGAUUGCCUCAAUGGAAAGAAACUCAUGUGAUAAGAGAAUAGGCUUCUAGGUAUUUUCCCACUAGCAACCAUGUUGCCUUAAGUGUUGAGUUUGAACAUGUGAAAGGAGACCAAGAUGUGGUCUUUGAGAAAGGUUAAAGAUAAGUUGGUUUUAUUAGUUAAAUUGUAUAAUAAUUAAGUUCCCAAAAAUUUUCAUUGUAGAUACAAACACAACUUUUAAGUGAACCAUAUGUUGUUGUUUUCCAUAGUUAUAUAGAUCUUUUGUCUAUUUAAUUUUGAGACCGUUCACUAGAAUGCCUAUUGAGCUACAUGCUCAAUGAACCAUAUACACAAACCAAUCCUACAAUUACGAUAAAAAAAGAAAAAAAUAUUCAAGUUUAUAAAUGAAUGGGGAUAGAGAUAUAUAAAAUAUACAACUUGAUUACAUGGCAGCUAGUUUACCUUUUGUUGUGUAAGAAUUUCCUUAUUUAGGCAUUUUAGAUUCUAUGACCAAUAUUUUGGAAGCCAUAUAUAAAAAUUCAUGGUAAAAGAAUAAAAAUAGAGUCAAUUUCAUUCAUACAAUACAAGAAACUAAGUUAUAGUGACAUGAUUUUAGUAGGGAUAAAAAAAAAAUUGCAACUAUAUAGUUUAUAUAGUUGCAGUUCCAAAAGGAUCUGUUUCUAUAGUUUUUUUAUGCCAAAAUUUGGUGGAAAAUAAUUUCCCUCUAAUGUUUAUAGGCACAGACGAUAUAUUCCAGCAUCAUUAUAGACUAUAAUGUUGUAGCCAGACAAGUGAGGCAGCCAUAGGAGUUCCACACAUUAGAGAUGGCUGCGGGGUACUUUUAUUCUGCUACCAUAAACCGGUUUUGCAUGGGGAUUCUGCUACCAAAAAUAGAUGGCUCGCAGAAAUAAAAGACCCUAAAAAUACCAUCUCGCUCUUCACAAUCUGAAACCUUUGCCUCCACACUGACAUUCUUUGUUGCUUCACGUUUGAAAUCCCCUCAAAAUCUUCUACUUCCUCUACUUCAACAAAACCAUUAUUGGAUCCUCUUCAUCCACUUCACUGGAAUAAAACACCAUCAAAUCUAGCUUUGAAACCGGUAAUCAAGGUACCUUCUCUUCACAUCAUCUCUGGUCGAUCUCUUUUUUCACUUUUUUCAAAGAGAAUGAUAUAAAACCCUAGCCUAGUCUUCAUCUUAAGCUGGAUUCUCUGAACUUUUGCUUUAGAAGUUGGUUCACUGUGUUAUUUUUUCAUUUAUCCAGAGGUUUUGAAAUUGAAAGUAGUUUGCUACUUGUUUGAAUAUGAUAUUUAAUUUGAAAUUAUUGAUUAUGAAUUGAAAUGGAAGGUUUGGGUUUGUUUAGGUUGCAGGUGUUGAAAUGAUGCAUAGGAAAAAAAUUGCAUAAACUAAUUUCAGUUUACCAAUCAUCUGUUUAAAUGAAAUGGAUGUGGUAUUUGCAUCUUUUUUUUUUUUUAAUCAUUAAUGUGUUCUCAUCGAAGUGUAGUUAAUUGCUAGAUCAGAAAUUCCUGUUUACUUCUAAGGAUGACAACUCAUGACUAAAGGCCAUAGAUUUUGGCUUGUUUGAUUUUGUGAAACAAGGCAUGUUCUUAGCCCUUCAAUCCAUAGAUAUAUGUAUAUUAAACCAGGAAUGUUCUUAGCCCUUCAAUCCAUAGAUAUAUAAGAUUCAUAAGAAAGUUUCUAAUAGAUUCUGUUUUCUCAUGCAUUAAAGGUAUUUCAAGCACCAUUCUUUGGAUCAACUUUGAACUUUUUCCAUCAAACUAAACACAUUUCCUUUUUGUUAUGAAAGACUGCUCAAAAUUGAUGGAGAUAAUUAUCCUGAGGUACAGAGUUUUAAUGUAACACCCUUAGAUUAGUUUAUGAUGAUUGCACAUUUGUUUGACCCCUAAACUGAAUUAUUCAGAUUUCUGAUUAAAUCCAAAUUGUGUACUUGAAUGUCAUACUCCCUUAUCAUAUUUAAACAUCAAUUCUGCAGACACUUUGCAGAAUGUUUAUCAUUAAUGUUGGACCUGGUUUUGAGCUGCCCUGGAACAUGUACAGUGACGAUUUAUGUUUAUCUAAGAACAACUUCCAAGAUUCAUGUGAGUUAAAAGAAGUUAUUUUAAUCUAAUAAAACUAUGACCUCUCUUUGCUACGAACAAAAGUUUUGAGUGAUUGCUUUUUGAAAAUUUUCUUAUGUUCUUGUUUCAAUGGUAUUGUAAUCGGAUUCAUUAGUUGUUAGCAGAUUGAACUCAUAACAUUAGCCAUUGGAUCUCUACUAUCCCAUAAGAAAGAAAAAUAAAGAAUAAAAUUAGCCACCAGACCAUCCAUUGUUUCUGUUGGAGGAAUAUCUAACAUAUUUUUGCACAAACUUGCUGAAAAUAUUCAAGAUGCAUAUGCAGAGGCAACAAAUAUUGCUUAGUAGGUUAAGUGUACCUGCUAAUAUUCCUUAAAUUCAACAAAAAUUUCUGAAAUUCUUUUCAUGAGUGGGUUUUACUUGACCAUACUAACUAGAAAAAUUGUAGCUCUUGUUGGUAGAAAUGGUUGAGGAAAAAGUAGUAUAAUUCCACUCAUGGAAUGGUUUGAUGAUCCUAUAUUAUGUAUUAGAUACACACUAGUUUCCUAUCUUUUGCUUACCUAUUUUCUUUUGCUUUAUAUGACUGUCAUUGGAAUCCUUUUAAAAAAACUUCUCAAAUUUUAAUGUUCCAAUAUCUUCUAGUAUAGGAGAGGUACUUUUGGAUGGAAAAAAUAUUAAAAACCUGAACCUGCCUUACUAUGUUUGAGCAUAAGAGAUGACAUUGCUUAUGGGUGGUCCAAUGCUACUUCUGUUCUUAUUGAAGAAACUGCUAAAAUAGGCAUGCACAUUCAUUUAUCAGCUCUCUUGAGAAAGGAUAUGAAAUAUAGGUAGAAAGUAAACUACACUGGACAUCUUAAGCACACAUUAUGGUCUUAACAAUCAUUUUUUGAUAUUCAUCUAGUUCAAUGCAAUGUAGGUGGGUUAAGUUGGUAUAACAUUGACAAAAGAGCAAAAAAUAAAUCUAUCUGUGUUAGGGUAGUGGUUUCAAAUCCAUCCAUGCUUCUACUUGAUGAAAUCGUUGGUGUCCUUGACUUUGAAGCAGAUAGUGUUGUUUAGGAGGCCAUAGAUAUCCUCAAGUAGGGACGAUCAACAUUAAUCAUUGCUCGACUAAUAAGUCUGGUAAGGAAUGUUGAUUACAUUACAGUGAUGGAGAAGGGCCACUUUGUUGAAAUGGGUACACAUGAUGAAUCGUUAAUAUGCAUAGCUUCUCUAGUGUGCAGAAGCUAUGAAACCUCCUAAAAGAUAUAUUCUUAUCAUAAACUUGUGCUUCUGUAGGACCUAGUGCAGUAUCUUGUACGCUUAUGUAAUGUGUUGAAUUUAGCAGUUUGCAACAAUUAAUCUCGUGUAACAAUUUUUUAUAAAUUGCAAAAAUACAUAUAUGUCAAUUUAUUUAUGUUUUUAAUUAUAAAUGGUGGUUAUUUUUACUUAUUUUUAAUUGGAGUGUUUUCUAUGUCACACGUUGAUCUUGCAAAUAAACAGGUUCUCUUAAAAAGCUCCUAAGAGUGGAAAUUCACACAAUGCAAAAAACCCAUUAGAUAUCAAAGUUAUAUCCUUCAUGACAUUCUUCAUGUUUCAUGCUUAGACUUACUUGAAGAGCUCUCUUUACACUAUGAGUAGACGGUUAUAACUAUUGCUUUCUUCUGAUUAGGAUGCAGCUUGAUGUUACAGUCAGGUGAAACCGUAAUUAUUGUUUUAGUUUUGUACUUUACGUAACUUAAUCCAGCAAAAAUCUAUUUGCACAAUAUCAGGAUAUUGUUUGUGUAAUUUUUGUCAAGUAAUAAAGUCCAUGUAUAACUGGACUUCACAUCGUGUGCUUUAAUUGAUCAAAUGUUAUUUCUUCUGUUGAUCAACAACAUAGUCUAGGAGAUUAUCACUAGGCAGAAACAUAGGUAACCACUCUUUUAUAGAACUGUGGAGAUAAUUUUUUUUUGUUCACUUUAAUGCAAACGAUAUGUUUGUGUAUGAUUUAAGUGGUUUGUUUUCUAAAUGCAGAGAGGAAGGGUGUUAAAGUAUGACAACCUGUACAUUACGGAAGAAAUCAUGCAAUUACUACAAACCAUGUGGGGGGGGGGGUAUAACUGAAGUCCAUAGUCAAUGACCACUACCCUAAUGAAUCCUUGUACAGUUGUAUAAGCUCGUGCAGUUGUAUUCCUUAAACAGCUUAUAGUCAUUGACUCUCUUCCUUGAUUUCACUCAUAGUUGUUUUAUCUCUUGUAUAUAUAUGAACAGUUUCAUAUA
Long non-coding RNA from Vitis vinifera (wine grape), 9302 nucleotides. RefSeq lists it as uncharacterized. The transcript is spliced from 2 exons. Lineage: Eukaryota; Viridiplantae; Streptophyta; Magnoliopsida; Vitales; Vitaceae. The record is from RefSeq and is a predicted model, not a curated record.